CCUACGGGAGGCAGCAGUGAGGAAUAUUGGUCAAUGGACGAGAGUCUGAACCAGCCAAGCAGCGUGAAGGAUGACUGCCCUAUGGGUUGUAAACUUCUUUUAUAAAGGAAUAAAACGCGGCACGUGUGCCUUUUUGCAUGUACUUUAUGAAUAAGCAUCGGCUAACUCCGUGCCAGCAGCCGCGGUAAUACGGAGGAUCCGAGCGUUAUCCGGAUUUAUUGGGUUUAAAGGGGGCGUAGAUGGGUUGUUAAGUCAGUUGUGAAAGUUGGCGGCUCAACCGUAGAAGGGCAGUUGAUACUGGCAGUCUUGAGUAGAGGAGAGGUAGGCGGAAUUCGUGGUGUAGCGGUGAAAUGCAUAGAUAUCGCGAAGAACCCCGAUUGCGAAGGCAGCUUACUAAAGUGAGACUGACGUUGAUGCACGAAAGUGUGGGUAUCGAACAGGAUUAGAUACCCGGGUAGUC
This 460-nucleotide ribosomal RNA is filed under the name uncultured bacterium. RNAcentral describes it as "partial 16S ribosomal RNA". It matches the Rfam family "Bacterial small subunit ribosomal RNA", at positions 338 to 795 of the family's 1533-position model. The record is from RNAcentral.